Molecule: ribosomal RNA, 439 nt
Filed under: uncultured bacterium
Lineage: Bacteria
Description: partial 16S ribosomal RNA
Rfam family: Bacterial small subunit ribosomal RNA
Source: RNAcentral
CUACGGGUUGCACCAGUGGGGAAUAUUGGACAAUGGAGGAAACUCUGAUCCAGCCAUGCCGCGUGAGUGAAGAAGGCCCUAGGGUUGUAAAACUCUUUCAGUAAGGAAGAUAAUGACGGUACUUACAGAAGAAGCCCCGGCUAACUCCGUGCCAGCAGCCGCGGUAAUACGGAGGGGGCUAGCGUUGUUCGGAAUCACUGGGCGUAAAGCGCGCGUAGGCGGUUUGAAAAGUCAGAUGUGAAAGCCCAGGGCUCAACCCUGGAACUGCAUUUGAAACUAUCAGACUAGAAUUCGGUAGAGGAUAGUGGAAUUCCUAGUGUAACAGUGAAAUGUAUAGAUAUUAGGAGGAACACCAGUGGCGAAGGCGACUAUCUGGGCCGAUAUUGACGCUAAUGUGCGAAAGCGUGGGGAGCAAACAGGAUUAGAUACCCGUGUAGUC